Molecule: non-coding RNA, 93 nt
Organism: Pogona vitticeps (central bearded dragon)
Lineage: Eukaryota; Metazoa; Chordata; Lepidosauria; Squamata; Agamidae
Source: RefSeq, a predicted model, not a curated record
UUUAAAAUACUGUAUUAAUAGUAUGUUUGGGUAUGUGCAUAUGAAGAGCAAUGAUGGGGGAUUGUGGGUAGGAGGAGAAGAGACAUGUUCUGU